Molecule: microRNA, 21 nt
Filed under: Ovis aries (sheep)
Lineage: Eukaryota; Metazoa; Chordata; Mammalia; Artiodactyla; Bovidae
Description: microRNA let-7b
Source: RNAcentral
UGAGGUAGUAGGUUGUGGGGU